CACCGCGGUUAUACGAGAGGCUCAAGUUGAUAAACACCGGCGUAAAAUGUGGUUAACAUAUUGUUGUACUAAAGCUAAACAUCUUCAAAGCUGUUAUACCCACACGAAGACAGGAAAACCUUCUACGAAAGUGGCUUUAAACUAAUGCUAACCCACGAAAACUAGGAAA
RNAcentral lists this ribosomal RNA (169 nucleotides) under Luciogobius elongatus. RNAcentral describes it as "partial 12S rRNA". Lineage: Eukaryota; Metazoa; Chordata; Actinopteri; Gobiiformes; Gobiidae. The record is from RNAcentral.